Molecule: transfer RNA, 73 nt
Filed under: Stegodyphus mimosarum
Lineage: Eukaryota; Metazoa; Arthropoda; Arachnida; Araneae; Eresidae
Rfam family: tRNA
About the family: Transfer RNA (tRNA) molecules are approximately 80 nucleotides in length. Their secondary structure includes four short double-helical elements and three loops (D, anti-codon, and T loops).
Source: Rfam by way of RNAcentral
GCCUUUGUAGUGUAACUGGAAGCACGUCCGGCUCAUAAUCAGGAGGUCCGGUGUUCGAAUCCCGGCCGGGGCU